Molecule: ribosomal RNA, 375 nt
Filed under: uncultured organism
Description: partial 16S ribosomal RNA
Rfam family: Bacterial small subunit ribosomal RNA
Source: RNAcentral
GUAGGGGGCGAGCGUUGUCCGGAUUCAUUGGGCGUAAAGAGCUCGUAGGCGGCUCAGUAAGUCGGUCGUGAAAGCCCGAGGCUCAACCUCGGGACGCCGGUCGAUACUGCUGUGGCUAGGGUCCGGUAGAGGAGAGUGGAAUUCCCGGUGUAGCGGUGAAAUGCGCAGAUAUCGGGAGGAACACCAGUAGCGAAGGCGGCUCUCUGGGCCGGCACCGACGCUGAGGAGCGAAAGCUAGGGGAGCAAACAGGGAUUAGAUACCCUGGUAGUCCUAGCCGUAAACGUUGGGCACUAGGUGUGGCGGAUUCAUUGACAUCUGCCGUGCCGUAGCUAACGCAUUAAGUGCCCCCGCCUGGGAGUACGGUCGCAAGGCUA